This 472-nucleotide ribosomal RNA is filed under the name uncultured bacterium. RNAcentral's name for it is "SSU rRNA". It matches the Rfam family "Bacterial small subunit ribosomal RNA", at positions 26 to 518 of the family's 1533-position model. The record is from RNAcentral.
AGGACGAACGCUGGCGGCGUGCUUAACACAUGCAAGUCGAGCGGAAAGGCCCUUCGGGGUACUCGAGCGGCGAACGGGUGAGUAACACGUGAGCAACCUGCCCCUGGCUCUGGGAUAGCCUCCGGAAACGGGGAUUAAUACCGGACAUUCUCCUUCUUCCGCAUGGUUGAGGGUGGAAAGUUUUUUCGGCCGGGGAGGGGCUCGCGGCCUAUCAGCUUGUUGGCGGGGUAACGGCUCACCAAGGCGACGACGGGUAGCCGGCCUGAGAGGGCGACCGGCCACACUGGGACUGAGACACGGCCCAGACUCCUACGGGAGGCAGCAGUGGGGAAUAUUGCGCAAUGGGCGGAAGCCUGACGCAGCGACGCCGCGUGGGGGAUGAAGGCCUUCGGGUUGUAAACCCCUUUCACCAGGAGCGAAUCAAGACGGUACCUGGGGAAGAAGCGCCGGCUAACUACGUGCCAGCAGCCGC